GAUCAUGGCUCAGGAUGAACGCUGGCGGCGUGCCUAAUACAUGCAAGUAGAACGCUGAAGGAGGAGCUUGCUCUUCUGGAUGAGUUGCGAACGGGUGAGUAACGCGUAGGUAACCUGCCUGGUAGCGGGGGAUAACUACUGGAAACGAUAGCUAAUACCGCAUGACAACAGUUAUUGCAUGAUAACUGUUUAAAAGGGGCAACUGCUCCACUACCAGAUGGAUCUGCGUUG
Molecule: ribosomal RNA, 231 nt
Filed under: uncultured bacterium
Lineage: Bacteria
Description: partial 16S ribosomal RNA
Rfam family: Bacterial small subunit ribosomal RNA
Source: RNAcentral